GCCACUUAUUCCAUCAAAAUUGAGGGGAAACCAUACACUUUCCUGCUUGAAAAACAGUCAUUUUUACACCCACAUUUCCUGGUGUAUUUAUACAAUGAAUCAGGAACAUUGUAUGCAGAUUCUUCAUUUUCAAAGGGUCAUUGCUUUUACCAAGGAUAUGCUGCAGACAUUCCAAAAUCAGUUGUGGCACUACGCACCUGUUCUGGACUCAGGCAUGCACUCAUAAAAAAUGCUGUAAUCCUGCAGAUUGUACUCUAGUUGGAGCUGCAGAAUGUGGCACUGGACCAUGCUGUAACAAUAAAACUUGUACG
RNAcentral lists this small RNA (311 nucleotides) under Pongo abelii (Sumatran orangutan). RNAcentral's name for it is "processed transcript". Lineage: Eukaryota; Metazoa; Chordata; Mammalia; Primates; Hominidae. The record is from RNAcentral.